RNAcentral lists this ribosomal RNA (484 nucleotides) under Granulicatella adiacens. Its description in RNAcentral is "bacterial SSU rRNA". It matches the Rfam family "Bacterial small subunit ribosomal RNA", at positions 28 to 493 of the family's 1533-position model. The record is from RNAcentral. Lineage: Bacteria; Bacillati; Bacillota; Bacilli; Lactobacillales; Carnobacteriaceae.
GACGAACGCUGGCGGCGUGCCUAAUACAUGCAAGUCGAACGAGAGCGACCGGUGCUUGCACUGGUCAAUCUAGUGGCGAACGGGUGAGUAACACGUGGGUAACCUGCCCAUCAGAGGGGGAUAACAUUCGGAAACGGAUGCUAAAACCGCAUAGGUCUUUAAACCGCAUGGUUUGAAGAGGAAAAGAGGCGCAAGCUUCUGCUGAUGGAUGGACCCGCGGUGCAUUAGCUAGUUGGUGAGGUAACGGCCCACCAAGGCCGUGAUGCAUAGCCGACCUGAGAGGGUGAUCGGCCACAUUGGGACUGAGACACGGCCCAAACUCCUACGGGAGGCAGCAGUAGGGAAUCUUCCGCAAUGGACGCAAGUCUGACGGAGCAACGCCGCGUGAGUGAAGAAGGUUUUCGGAUCGUAAAACUCUGUUGUUAGAGAAGAACAAGUGCUAGAGUAACUGUUAGCACCUUGACGGUAUCUAACCAGAAAGCCA